GACGAACCGUGCGAACGUUGUUCGGAUUCACUGGGCUUAAAGGGCGCGUAGGCGGGCGGUCAAGUCGGGGGUGAAAUCUUUCCGCUUAACGGGAAGCGUGCCUCCGAUACUGAUCGCCUCGAGGGAGGUAGGGGCAUGUGGAACUUCCGGUGGAGCGGUGAAAUGCGCAGAUAUCAGGAGGAACACCGGUGGCGAAGGCGGGUCUCUGGGCCAUUACUGACGCUGAGGAGCGAAAGCGUGGGGAGCGAACAGG
RNAcentral lists this ribosomal RNA (253 nucleotides) under uncultured bacterium. RNAcentral's name for it is "partial 16S ribosomal RNA". It matches the Rfam family "Bacterial small subunit ribosomal RNA", at positions 524 to 776 of the family's 1533-position model. The record is from RNAcentral.